This is a long non-coding RNA of Loxodonta africana (African savanna elephant), 4157 nucleotides long. RefSeq lists it as uncharacterized. The record is from RefSeq and is a predicted model, not a curated record. Lineage: Eukaryota; Metazoa; Chordata; Mammalia; Proboscidea; Elephantidae. The transcript is spliced from 4 exons.
GUGAGCAGACUCUAGUCUAUGCAGACUAAUGAGGAGUUAUCAAAAUGAGCUCCAAACUCCAGAUUUGAGUUAAGGAUCAUAAAUUAACACAGAGAAAUACGACUUUAGCAAUAUGUGACUGUUUGAAGCCCAAGUUGCCUUAAAACACGGAAUUUCAGUCUUUCAGCUCCUCUGCUAAUCUAGUGACUAAGAACAGGAUCUCACUGGAGCUCAAAGAUGUGGGGCACUGGGAAUACUCUGGGUCUGUCUGCUCACGGCUGAUUGCCUGAUCCCAGUUUUAUUAUACAGCUUAAAUACAGACCAGAAGAGGAGUUUGGGGCUUGACACCUGACGUCUUAACACCAGUUCCUGUUUCUUGAGGAAGGAAGAGGUAAAAUAAAUCAGCGUUUACUGUGUCCUUCUCCAUCCCCGGAAGUCUUCAUGAAGACCCUCUCAGCUUCUACUUGAACGUGAAUAUGAGCAACUGAUCAUCUGUUCUGCGGUCAGCCCCUGGCCUGAUUCUGACUCAUGAUAUUGACCUUCUCCAUCAUCACCUUCCACAAAUUUGAUUCCUAUCUAUUCUGCCUGGAAUAGUUCAUGAGUAUAGUCACCAUUUAUGUUCCUGACGAAAGACAUUAUGCUCAUUCUCAGGGCCCUGAGACCUCAUCUGCAGCAGGUGAAGGCAUUCGUGGAGAGAGGCGGUUUCCGUGCGUGCAGGCAAAGUGUGUGCUGAGAUGAGUCGCUGGAGACUGGGGUGGACUCUUCAGACCCAGGAUAGGCCUCUGGCAGGUAUAUGUCAAUGUUUUCUGCCCAUGGCACUCACCCGGAUAUUUGCAUACAAUGUUAUCAGUGGAAUUAGUAGUCUCCAGAGAGGCUGCCACAUGUCAGCAAGCUUCACCUGGCCAGGUCCGCCCAGGAUGUAGCUCCCCAAUCAAUCACUACUCUCUAGACCUUCCAGAUAGACUAGCAGAUCUUCUCUGCCCAUGGGCAACCAGUAGAGCCAGAGGCCUUCUCUCUUUGCUCUUUCGUCUCUAGGCAUUCUAUCAGGCAUUCCAAGCUGUGAAGUGCCUGGGAGGAGAAGGAAGAGAUUUCAGAGAAUGAACACAUACAGAGAGACAGGCAAGAGACGGUGAGUGGGGAUGUCUUGCCUACUGAUAUCCUCAGGAAAGUGGGAAAAUUGGACCCUGGCCUGCUAUGACAAUGCCCUGAAGCAGUCCGCACCAGGGGCUCCCUUGUGCCUGCAUAGCCUUUCCCAGGGUGUGCUCAAAUCCUGUGGCCACUAGGUGUCCUGGGUCACAAUGGAGGGCCCUGUGUCAUCUGCCUGUUGGGCUGGAUCUCUGCCAUUGGCUGAGUCUUGUCACCAGGCCCAUCAUAAGCUCUGCCCACUCUUCCUGUGGGGGGACUGUCUCCAUGGUGAUGGCAAAGAAGCCUGAGUUCCGCCCACCUGGCCUUGACUUCACCUACCUGGCCUGCUGACCCUCACUCAGACCUCUGUGUUGAUCAAAAUGAAUGUCCGCCAGUGGCCAGGUGUCAGCAUCUGGGAUAAAGGAUUGGGGACCUUGCCUGGGGCAGAAGGCAGCCUAGGUCUGUGGGUACCUGGAAGUCUUGUGACUUCUGCCGCUGCUGCCAGUGACAGAUGGUGACUCCCACACUCACAUAUCCCCUGGUGGCAGAAGGAUAGUGAUGGGCGGAGAAACAUGGCUCCGGAGCACACUUUAAAUGCGGCACCAGCCAAAGGCCAGGGCAAGGAGUGGACGUCGUGGAGCUUAAUUGCAAGCCAGUGAAGGGCCCAAGGAUUUCUCCUAUAUGUGGCAAACAGGUCAUCCGUGUCCCCACGUCCAUAAACCAUUGGACUGCAGUGCCAGACUGCCAGGAUUUCGGCCUUGCCAUUGGAGCCCGUCCACAUACGCUGCGUUGCACCGGAGGCGGGGACAUGUAGACAGCAAAAAUUUGGAAAAUGGCAUCAUCUCUUCAAUUUCCCUAGCAUUGGCCUUUUUCAGUGGCAUGCUUUGUUUCCUAGUAGGAUAAGGCACUGACGGAGAAAGGCAGGAGUAUGUGUGUAGGAAAGGUGUGUGCCGAAAGGGUGACGACGUUGAGACCACGUUGGGAUCUUUAGUCCCAGGAAAGGCCCCUGGCAGGUGUGGGUCAAUGUUCUCUGCUCAUCCGAGUUGGCGGGGGAGGUUUUCACCAAACAAAGCAGCAGUGGAAUUAUUCGUAGCCUGAGAGGUUGCAUCUGCCCACAAGCUCCACCUGGCCAGGGUCCGCCCCUACUGUAUUGCCCAUGUCAAUCAACAGAAGCUAAGACCUUCCAGAGAGACUACCUGCUAUUGUCUACCCACCGGGAAGCGGUCCAGCCAGAAGCCUCCCCCGUUUCAUCUCCAGGCUCUCUGUCAGGCCCCUCAUACUUGUGAUGUGUCUCAGGGGUAGAAGGAAGAGAUUUCUCUGAAUGAACACAUCCAGAGAGGAGCCAUAGAUGCUGAGGAAGGGCGCCUUGUCUACUGAUAUCCUAGCGUAAGUGUAAAAGAGGUACCUGCCUGCUGUCCCAGUGUGUCGAACGUGUCCACAUCAGGGGUUGGCUACUGUAAAAUUAUUCCCUGGUGCCCUCGAUUUUGUGGCCAAAGACACGAGGGGCCGUUGUGUGUCCAUGGGUACAAUGGAGGGCUCUGCGGAACGGGCUGGUUAGGCUGGACUUCUCCUAUUGGCUCAGUGUUUGUGACUCGUCCCCGUCAGAAGUUCCGCCCAGCCUUCUGGUGGCUGUCUCCAUGAGGAUUGGGAAAGAAGCCCUAGGCCCCGCACUCGGCCUUCACCUGGCCUACCUGGCCUCUUUACCCUCAUCUAGACCGCUCUGUGCAUGAAAGAAAGGAUGUCGGCCACUGACCAAGCAUCCUCAUUUCCUUGGAAGUAUUAGGCUCCUUGCGUGGGCAGAAGACAGCCAAGGUCAGCCUGAGCCUAGACACCUAGUGACCUGUGACACUGCAGCCAGCGAUAGAUGUUGAUGUCCACGCUCAGGUAUCCGCAGUUGACGGAUUCAGAGUGGUCAGAGGAGAAGUGUAACUAGAGAUCACACACUCAUGAGGGCACGGGCCAAAGGUCAGGGAAAAUAGCUGAGGUCGUGGAGCUCUAGCGGAGCCAGUCAAGGGCCCAGGCCUCCCUCCUGUACGUGGCAAAGAGGUGUCACCUUCCGCAGAGUAUGCUGCCACCCGCAGACUCUGGACUGCUGGGGCCCUGGAUGCCCGGAUUUCGGCCUUGUGUUUGGAGAAGUGACGUGCAUGCAGUGUGCCACCGGGGGCUGUGGCCCAGCAGAAGCAAAAUCUUGAAAAUGGGAGCUUCAGUUGACUUUGCGUGUUCUCUCCCUUGGCUGAGUGCCAUCCUGUGUUUCCUAGCAGGAGAAGGCAUUCGUGGAGAAAGGCAGAUUCCAUGUGUGCAGGCAAAGUGUGUGCUGACAUGAUGAGACCCUGGAGACCAGGGUGGACUCUUCAGACCCAGGACAGGCCUCUGGCAGGUAUGUGUCAAUGUUUUCUGCCCGUGGCACUCAACCGGGUAUUUGCAUACAGUGUCAUCAGCAGAAUUAGUAGUCUCCGGAGAGGCUACCACAUGUCAGCAAGCUUCACCUGGCCAGAGUCCACCCGUGAUGUAGCUCCCCAAUCAGUCACUACUGUCUAGACCUUCCAGAUAGACUAGCAGAUCUUCUCUGCCCAUGGGCAACCAGUAGAGCCAGAGGCCUUCCCCCUUUGCUCUUUCGUCUCUAGGCUCUCUAUCAGGCACUCCAAGCUGUGAAGUGACUCAGGGAGAGAAGGAAGAGAUUUCAGAGAAUGAACACAUACAGAGAGAGAGGCAAGAGAUGCUGAGUGGGGAUGUCUUGCGUACUGAUAUCCUCAGGAAAGUGGGAAAAUUGGACCCUGGCCUGCUCUGCCAAUGCCGUGAAGCAGUCCACUCCAGGGGCUCCCUUGUGCCUGCAUAGCCUUUCCCAGGGUGUGCUCAAAUCCUGUGGCCACUAGGUGUCCUAGGUCACAAUGGAGGACCCUGUGUCAUCUGCCUGGCGGACUGGAUCUCUGCCAUUGGCUGAGUCUUGUCACCAGGCCCAUCAUAAGCUCUGCCCACUCUUCCGGUGGGGAGACUCUCUCCAUGGUGAUGGCAAAGAAACCUUAGUCCUGCCCACCUGGCCUUCACUUCACGUA